UACGUAGGGUGCGAGCGUUAAUCGGAAUUACUGGGCGUAAAGCGUGCGCAGGCGGUUCGUUAAGUUCGUUGUGAAAGCCCCGGGCCCAACCUGGGAACUGCAAUGGAAACUGGCGGGCUUGAGUGCGGCAGAGGGGGGUGGAAUUCCGCGUGUAGCAGUGAAAUGCGUAGAGAUGCGGAGGAACACCGAUGGCGAAGGCAGCCCCCUGGGCCGACACUGACGCUCAGGCACGAAAGCGUGGGGAGCAAACAGG
RNAcentral lists this ribosomal RNA (253 nucleotides) under uncultured bacterium. RNAcentral describes it as "partial 16S ribosomal RNA". It matches the Rfam family "Bacterial small subunit ribosomal RNA", at positions 524 to 776 of the family's 1533-position model. The record is from RNAcentral.